This 660-nucleotide ribosomal RNA is filed under the name uncultured bacterium. RNAcentral describes it as "bacterial SSU rRNA". It matches the Rfam family "Bacterial small subunit ribosomal RNA", at positions 9 to 676 of the family's 1533-position model. The record is from RNAcentral.
GAGUUUGAUCCUGGCUCAGGAUAAACGCUGGCGGCGCACAUAAGACAUGCAAGUCGAACGAACUUAAUUCAUUCUUUUAGAUUGGAAGCGGUUAGUGGCGGACUGGUGAGUAACGCGUGAGCAACCUGCCUAUUAGAGGGGAAUAACAGUGAGAAAUCAUUGCUAAUACCGCAUAUGCUUACACUAUUGCAUGAUGGAGUAAGGAAAGGAGCAAUCCGCUAAUAGAUGGGCUCGCGUCUGAUUAGCUAGUUGGUGGGGUAGAAGCCUACCAAGGCGACGAUCAGUAGCCGGACUGAGAGGUUGAACGGCCACAUUGGGACUGAGAUACGGCCCAGACUCCUACGGGAGGCAGCAGUCGGGAAUAUUGCGCAAUGGAGGGGACUCUGACGCAGUGACGCCGCGUAUAGGAAGAAGGUUUUCGGAUUGUAAACUAUUGUCGUUAGGGAAGAAAAAAGACAGUACCUAAGGAGGAAGCCCCGGCUAACUAUGUGCCAGCAGCCGCGGUAAUACAUAGGGGGCAAGCGUUAUCCGGAAUUAUUGGGUGUAAAGGGUGCGUAGACGGGUGUUUAAGUUGGUUGUGAAAUCCCUCGGCUCAACUGAGGAACUGCAACCAAAACUGGAUAUCUUGAGUGUCGGAGAGGAAAGUGGAAUUCCUAGUGU